UCCUGGCGCGACUUUAGGAAAUGCCCCAAUUUCCAGGCUGCUUCCUCCCUCUUAUGAAACACCCGCCGAAGGAUGGAGGGGGAGAAGGGACUCAGACACGAGAGCUGUGAUUCUUACCUUAAAUUCAUCCAGCAGGUCGGAGCUGAGCAGCUGGAUGCUGAGGUCAUCAUCUUUUGAUUGCUGUGGGAGGGUGCAAUGGAAAUGUGAGCUUUUUUAGGCAGGUAAUCAGCACUCUUUUCACUUUGUCUAAUCAACUGAUCCUCUUCUUGUUUGCAUUUGUGGUCUCACUGCAGCACACGUGUGUGCAGAGCACGGUGACGCCAGGAACAGGAGUCACCAGUUCUUUGGUCCAUGAUCUUGCAGCACAAGGGCUGCUAGGUCAGGACAGGAAGACAAUGAAAUCACAAUCUUUAGUGAUAUUGAUUUUGUCAAUGUGAAACUCCUGUCUCUGCUGCCUGCGCCGUGCACUCGCUUCAGCUGCUCGGGGUGUUGUCUAAGGGUGCUGCUGGAGACUGCAACGCUCUCCAGAGAGGUGUCAAAGCAAUGGCAGCCCCUGGAAGCCACCCCAGCCUGUCUGCCAGAGGGACAUUGUGUGUUGUGUAACACCAUCCCUGGAGAUGUCUCACCAUGCCUGCAGGUGUUUAAGGAAUGACUGGACAUGGCACUCAGUGCUCUGAUCUAGCUGACAAGGGCAUGACGUUGGAUAUUUCACAUCUGGAGACCUGCUUUCUACCACCCUUGUCGGAAUUUGCGACAUGACUCACAUCGAC
This is a long non-coding RNA of Neopelma chrysocephalum (saffron-crested tyrant-manakin), 770 nucleotides long. RefSeq lists it as uncharacterized. The transcript has 3 exons. The record is from RefSeq and is a predicted model, not a curated record. Lineage: Eukaryota; Metazoa; Chordata; Aves; Passeriformes; Pipridae.